AACGAACGCUGGCGGCAUGCCUAACACAUGCAAGUCGAACGAGACCUUCGGGUCUAGUGGCGCACGGGUGCGUAACGCGUGGGAACCUGCCCUUAGGUUCGGAAUAACUCCCCGACAGGGGUGCUAAUACCGGAUAAGGUCUUCGGACCAAAGAUUUAUCGCCUUUGGAUGGGCCCGCGUUGGAUUAGCUAGUUGGUAGGGUAAAAGCCUACCAAGGCGACGAUCCAUAGCUGGUCUGAGAGGAUGAUCAGCCACACUGGGACUGAGACACGGCCCAGACUCCUACGGGAGGCAGCAGUGGGGAAUAUUGGACAAUGGGCGAAAGCCUGAUCCAGCAAUGCCGCGUGAGUGAUGAAGGCCUUAGGGUUGUAAAGCUCUUUUACCCGGGAUGAUAAUGACAGUACCGGGAGAAUAAGCUCCGGCUAACUCCGUG
This 433-nucleotide ribosomal RNA is filed under the name uncultured bacterium. RNAcentral describes it as "partial 16S ribosomal RNA". It matches the Rfam family "Bacterial small subunit ribosomal RNA", at positions 29 to 507 of the family's 1533-position model. The record is from RNAcentral.